AUCUAAGUACCCCGAGGAAAAGAAAUCAACCGAGAUUCCCCCAGUAGCGGCGAGCGAACGGGGAGGAGCCCAGAGCCUGAAUCAGCAUGUGUGUUAGUGGAAGCGUCUGGAAAGGCGCGCGAUACAGGGUGACAGCCCCGUACACAAAAGCGCAUGUGCUGUGAGCUCGAUGAGUAGGGCGGGACACGUGGUAUCCUGUCUGAAUAUGGGGGGACCAUCCUCCAAGGCUAAAUACUCCUGACUGACCGAUAGUGAACCAGUACCGUGAGGGAAAGGCGAAAAGAACCCCGGCGAGGGGAGUGAAAAAGAACCUGAAACCGUGUACGUACAAGCAGUGGGAGCACAGGUUUACCUGUGUGACUGCGUACCUUUUGUAUAAUGGGUCAGCGACUUAUAUUCUGUAGCAAGGUUAACCGUAUAGGGGAGCCGGAGGGAAACCGAGUCUUAACCGGGCGUUAAGUUGCAGGGUAUAGACCCGAAACCCGGUGAUCUAGCCAUGGGCAGGUUGAAGGUUGGGUAACACUAACUGGAGGACCGAACCGACUAAUGUUGAAAAAUUAGCGGAUGACCUGUGGCUGGGGGUGAAAGGCCAAUCAAACCGGGAGAUAGCUGGUUCUCCCCGAAAGCUAUUUAGGUAGCGCCUCGUGAAUUCAUCUCCGGGGGUAGAGCACUGUUUCGGCUAGGGGGCCAUCCCGGCUUACCAACCCGAUGCAAACUGCGAAUACCGGAGAAUGUUAUCACGGGAGACACACGGCGGGUGCUAACGUCCGUCGUGAAGAGGGAAACAACCCAGACCGCCAGCUAAGGUCCCAAAGUCAUGGUUAAGUGGGAAACGAUGUGGGAAGGCCCAGACAGCCAGGAUGUUGGCUUAGAAGCAGCCAUCAUUUAAAGAAAGCGUAAUAGCUCACUGGUCGAGUCGGCCUGCGCGGAAGAUGUAACGGGGCUAAACCAUGCACCGAAGCUGCGGCA
RNAcentral lists this ribosomal RNA (969 nucleotides) under Salmonella enterica. Its description in RNAcentral is "partial 23S ribosomal RNA". It matches the Rfam family "Bacterial large subunit ribosomal RNA", at positions 200 to 1207 of the family's 2925-position model. The record is from RNAcentral. Lineage: Bacteria; Pseudomonadati; Pseudomonadota; Gammaproteobacteria; Enterobacterales; Enterobacteriaceae.